Molecule: ribosomal RNA, 96 nt
Filed under: uncultured bacterium
Lineage: Bacteria
Description: partial 16S ribosomal RNA
Source: RNAcentral
CCGCCCGUCACACCAUGGGAGUUUGUUGCACCAGAAGCAGGUAGCUUAACCACGCAAGUGGGGGCGCUUGCCACGGUGUGGCCGAUGACUGGGGUG